UCAAGCCGGAGGAAGGCGGGGAUGACGUCAAGUCCUCAUGGCCCUUAUGGGCUGGGCUACACACGUGCUACAAUGGCGAUGACAGUGGGAAGCAAUACCGCGAGGUGGAGCCAAUCCCCAAAAGUCGUCUCAGUUCGGAUUGUACUCUGCAACUCGAGUGCAUGAAGUUGGAAUCGCUAGUAAUCGCGGAUCAGCAUGCCGCGGUGAAUACGUUCCCGGGCCUUGUACACACCGCCC
This 237-nucleotide ribosomal RNA is filed under the name uncultured Alphaproteobacteria bacterium. RNAcentral's name for it is "partial 16S ribosomal RNA". It matches the Rfam family "Bacterial small subunit ribosomal RNA", at positions 1158 to 1395 of the family's 1533-position model. Lineage: Bacteria; Pseudomonadati; Pseudomonadota; Alphaproteobacteria. The record is from RNAcentral.